RNAcentral lists this ribosomal RNA (400 nucleotides) under uncultured bacterium. RNAcentral describes it as "bacterial SSU rRNA". It matches the Rfam family "Bacterial small subunit ribosomal RNA", at positions 356 to 773 of the family's 1533-position model. The record is from RNAcentral.
GGGGAAUAUUGCACAAUGGGGGAAACCCUGAUGCAGCGACGCCGCGUGAGUGAAGAAGUAUUUCGGUAUGUAAAGCUCUAUCAGCAGGGACGAUAAUGACGGUACCUGACUAAGAAGCCCCGGCUAACUACGUGCCAGCAGCCGCGGUAAUACGUAGGGGGCAAGCGUUAUCCGGAUUUACUGGGUGUAAAGGGAGCGUAGACGGUGACGUAAGUCAGAUGUGAAAACCCAGGGCUCAACCCUGGGACUGCAUUUGAAACUAUGUUACUAGAGUGCAGGAGAGGUAAGUGGAAUUCCUAGUGUAGCGGUGAAAUGCGUAGAUAUUAGGAGGAACACCAGUGGCGAAGGCGGCUUACUGGACUGUAACUGACGUUGAGGCUCGAAAGCGUGGGGAGCAAAC